UCUAUGUACACUCUACUAAAGUGUACAUAUAAAUCAAUAUUUAAUUAAUAUGAGAGGGGAAAAUUUAUUGUGUGUCUCGAACUUUUUAAAACACGGACUGAGUCUUUUUAAUACAUAGGCUGAGUCUUUGAUAUGUUGACUUUCUCAAAAGCCUAGACCAGGGAGAACAGAAGCAACCAGUGGCACAGCUAUAUACAAGAUGCUGGGUAUUGUACAGCAAACCCUAACAAAGGGGCUUUUCAAAGUUAACCCAAUUACCAAAUAAUGUGAUGAUAACAAUAACUAUCCAUUGUCUUCUAAGGCAGCAGGAACCUCACAUUUCCACUAUAGAGCCUAUAUUUCCCCCAGUCCUGGAACCUUAAGGUGGGGUGCACUUUCCUGCAUGCUUCUCUCAAUUCAUAUCAAAUAAUAUUGCAUCACAACCUAAUCAAUGCAACGAGUGCCACCUCAGCAUGCUUCACUUCAAAUUGUGUCCAGAGACUUCAGGUGUGGAAAGACAACCCUUCAGCUUCAUUACUCAGCCACCAGGUUCCAGAUGCCAGCAGGAUGCUGACCAGACUUCCCUGGACAGACAACGCCAUCAGUGUGUCCUGGAGCUCUGCUUCCCCAGAGACCCACCCUACUAGGGAAAAAGGCAGGCUGGGAGUAUGGAUCAACCAGUCAAUACCCAUGUUCAGCGGGGAAGCAGUUACAGAAGCCAGACCUUCCACCAUUUGCAACCCACAGUGAGCUUGGGUCCAUAUUCCCAGAGGGAUAAAAAAUAAGAAAACUAUCAGAGGAGGGGAUGGGAUAUAGAGAUCUGAUGGUGGGAAUUUUGUGGAGUUGUAUCCCUCCAAUCCUACACUUUUGUUAAUGUCUCCUUUUGAAAAUAAAUUAGAAAAAUGUUGAAUAGAUUUUAGUUGGGGAGACAGGCAAUUGCCCUCCAUUGGACCCUGAGGUUGAGCUGUAUUCUGUGUCCCCUCUCAGGUCACUAAAGCCAACAGGAUAGGGAAUGGGGGACACUUCUGAAGUACUGGAAUAAUCUUAUUCAAGAGCAAACUAACCUUGGCAUUUCUUCUCAGGAAGCUUUGGCUGAAUUUCUUGAGGUUUUCAUAGGUUAUCUCAUCUGAAGGCAUCUUGUACCUUGCAUCAGAGCUCAAGUUUAGGAUCUGGACAGACGGGAUGUCUACCUCUGUGAUCCGGAAGUAUUCAAAGAUACGGCCGUUUCUGGGUUCAUCUGCAUCCACGAGGAUGAAAAGGAUCUGCCAAAAAGCAGAAGGGAGCUGUGUCUCUCUGGUUCAUUUAUGGAGGGAUGGAAACCAAGAGGAAGCUGUGGGAAGGCACUUGUGGAAUGCAAAUAGCCAGUUUGUGGAGCAUCUCUGAGUGGUGCAGCAAAGGCUUCCUUACACCAGGUGGAUGCGGCCCUGUCCCAGUAUAUAAGCAGGAUGGAGAGGCUGGUCUCUCCAGUCUUGUACAGGUGCCUUCAACACAACCACAGGAAGUCAGGUGCCAAACACGUAAACACAGGAAGUCGGGUACGAAACACCGGACCACAGGAGGUACAAGGUGGGCUUCUACCUCCACCACCGUCCUCCUUUCCUUGGCCAAACCAGAACUGUCCUCAAGAGAACUGUACCUUGUUUUGAAAUUCCUUCGAAGCCAAUUUAUAAUGCUGCAUGAUCAGACCAAAAGACUCCGAGGUUUUGGAGACAAAAAGCAGCAUGUGAUUCAGGACGUUCAAGUCAUAAAUCAGCUCCUUACUCUGCAAUUAUAAGAAGGACAGGUCGUCCUUGUUCACAGCUAUCCCAGUGAGCCUCCUUCCCCGGGCCCCUCUGCUUACUGACCUGAGCGUUAUAUUCAAUAACCUGGUCUUUGAGCUGUUCUUUGAUGACUUGAUUGAGAGCUUGCUUAUUGGUAUUGUCAUUGAGUAGCUCCUGGCGAGUCACCACUUUUCCCUGGGAUGAAAGAACGAUGUUGGAGGGAGGGCAGUAGUUUUUAUCAUCGAGGCACUUAAUAAAUAGGACUGGCCCAAUUUUCUCCUGACAUCAAAGGAAAACACAAUGAUGACAGAUGUCAUUUGUCACCUAGGUCCCUAGUAGACCUGGACAGUUCAGCAGAAGAGUUUGGAGGUGGGAUACAGGCUUGUGAUCAUCACGAAAAUCUCUCACCUAGAAAAGGCAGGUGUGUAAUUGGCAGAUGGAGCUGCCUGGCUUUGAAACCCAUCACCCUGUCCUGAUUCAGAGCAACUUUUCACACAUUGUCUCCAACAAAUGAUUGAAUGUGACAGAGAUGUUAAGGCAAGUGCAGAAUUUCUGUGAUAAACUUUCUAAGCAAUCUCCA
Molecule: long non-coding RNA, 2319 nt
Organism: Erinaceus europaeus (western European hedgehog)
Lineage: Eukaryota; Metazoa; Chordata; Mammalia; Eulipotyphla; Erinaceidae
Exons: 2
Source: RefSeq, a predicted model, not a curated record